RNAcentral lists this ribosomal RNA (253 nucleotides) under uncultured bacterium. Its description in RNAcentral is "partial 16S ribosomal RNA". It matches the Rfam family "Bacterial small subunit ribosomal RNA", at positions 524 to 776 of the family's 1533-position model. The record is from RNAcentral.
UACGAAGGGUGCAAGCGUUAUUCGGAAUCAUUGGGCGUAAAGCGCGCGCAGGCGGCUUCGUAAGUCAGGGGUGAAAUCCCGGGGCUCAACCUCGGAACUGCCUUUGAUACUGCGGGUCUUGAGUCCGAUAGAGGUGGGUGGAAUUCCUAGUGUAGAGGUGAAAUUCGUAGAUAUUAGGAAGAACACCGGUGGCGAAGGCGGCCCGCUGGAUCGGUACUGACGCUGAGGUGCGAAAGCGUGGGGAGCAAACAGG